UACAGAGGGUGCGAGCGUUGUCCGGAAUCACUGGGCGUAAAGGGCGCGUAGGCGGCCUGGGAAGUAGGGGGUGAAAUCCUGCGGCUUAACCGCAGGGCUGCCUUCUAAACUGUCAGGCUCGAGCACAGUAGAGGCAGGUGGAAUUCCCGGUGUAGCGGUGGAAUGCGUAGAGAUCGGGAAGAACAUCAGUGGCGAAGGCGGCCUGCUGGGCUGUUGCUGACGCUGAGGCGCGACAGCGUGGGGAGCAAACAGG
This 253-nucleotide ribosomal RNA is filed under the name uncultured bacterium. RNAcentral describes it as "partial 16S ribosomal RNA". It matches the Rfam family "Bacterial small subunit ribosomal RNA", at positions 524 to 776 of the family's 1533-position model. The record is from RNAcentral.